AUACGGAGGGUCCAAGCGUUAUCCGGAAUCAUUGGGUUUAAAGGGUUCGUAGGCGGGUUAAUCAGUCAGAGGUGAAAUCCCAACGCUCAACGUUGGAACUGCCUUUGAUACUGUUAGUCUUGAGUCAUAUGGAAGUGGAUAGAAUAUGUAGUGUAGCGGUGAAAUGCAUAGAUAUUACAUAGAAUACCGAUUGCGAAGGCAGUCCACUACGUAUGUACUGACGCUGAGGAACGAAAGCGUGGGGAGCGAACGGGAUUAGAAACCCUUGUAGUCC
Molecule: ribosomal RNA, 274 nt
Filed under: uncultured bacterium
Lineage: Bacteria
Description: partial 16S ribosomal RNA
Rfam family: Bacterial small subunit ribosomal RNA
Source: RNAcentral